This 963-nucleotide ribosomal RNA is filed under the name Agathylla neutra. Its description in RNAcentral is "partial 16S large subunit ribosomal RNA". Lineage: Eukaryota; Metazoa; Mollusca; Gastropoda; Stylommatophora; Clausiliidae. The record is from RNAcentral.
UGCAUAAUGGUGAUAUUAAAAUCCAAUUUAUUAGUAAACUUCCCGAAAAUAAGAAGAUCUACUUAAAUAUUACCUUUGUUAGAAUUAAAUAUUAUUGUUGCAAAAAUAAAAUAAAAAUAAUAAGUAGUAGUGAAACGCAUAUCAUUUUUAUUGAUAACUGGAUUAAAAGAAAAUAUAUUAAGUAUAAAAGACAAUUUUAAAGCGAUAAGGUUUUAAAAAAAAUGAAUGAAAUAUAAAUUUAGAUAUAUUAUUUAGUAAAACUAUACAAUAUCAUAAUUAAAUUCAAAAUUAAACUGUGAAUACAUCAAAAUUCAACCUUUUAUUUGCUUUGUAAUUAAACUCCACACAUUAAUAAUGUAUCAAUUAGUAGAAAUUAUAAAUAUAAAUAAGGAACUCGACAAAUAUAUUGUACGACUGUUUAUCAAAAACAUAACCAUAAGAACAUUUUUAUGGUGCCGUCCGCCCAGUGAUAAUUUUAACGGCCGCAGUACUUUGACUGUGCUAAGGUAGCAUAAUAACUUGGCUUUUAAUUGGAGUCUGGAAUGAGAGAAAAAACGUAUAGAUAUUGUCUCAAACUGUAUUGUUUCUAAGUUAGUUAAGAAGUGAAAAUACUUCUGUGUUUUAAUAAAAGACGAGAAGACCCUUAGAAUUUUUACUAAUUAUGUAAGUCAUUUAUAUUCUAUGUUUUAGUUGGGGCAACUCUAUUUCAUAUAAUAAAUAGUAAUGUGAGUUAUUUAGACCGAUUUAAAUAAAUAAAAGCAAAUUACCUAAGGGAUAACAGCAUAAUUUUAUUAAUUAAGAUUGUGACCUCGAUGUUGGACUAGGUAAUGUUAAAGCUAAACGUUUUACCAUAUAGGUUCUGUUCGAACUUUCGUACCUACAUGAUCUGAGUUCAGACCGGCGUAAGCCAGGUCAGUUUCUAUCUUUAAUAUUGUAUAAGAUAGUACGAAGGGGACCGUAGAA